Molecule: ribosomal RNA, 500 nt
Filed under: uncultured bacterium
Lineage: Bacteria
Description: partial 16S ribosomal RNA
Rfam family: Bacterial small subunit ribosomal RNA
Source: RNAcentral
AUUGAACGCUGGCGGCAUGCCUUACACAUGCAAGUCGAACGGCAGCACGGGAGCAAUCCUGGUGGCGAGUGGCGAACGGGUGAGUAAAGUAUCGGAACGUGCCCAGUCGUGGGGGAUAACGUAGCGAAAGUUACGCUAAUACCGCAUACGAUCUAUGGAUGAAAGCGGGGGAUCGCAAGACCUCGCGCGAUUGGAGCGGCCGAUAUCAGAUUAGGUAGUUGGUGGGGUAAAGGCUCACCAAGCCGACGAUCUGUAGCUGGUCUGAGAGGACGACCAGCCACACUGGGACUGAGACACGGCCCAGACUCCUACGGGAGGCAGCAGUGGGGAAUUUUGGACAAUGGGCGAAAGCCUGAUCCAGCCAUGCCGCGUGCAGGAUGAAGGCCUUCGGGUUGUAAACUGCUUUUGUACGGAACGAAAAGGUUUGGGCUAAUAAGCUGAGCUCAUGACGGUACCGUAAGAAUAAGCACCGGCUAACUACGUGCCAGCCGCCGCGGUAA